UCUGCUUCCAAAAGGCUAAAGGGGACUCUUCUUUUCCCUUGGCUGACCCCCCCCCACCGGCAACAGGGUGGGAUUCAGACAGCUGAUUUACUGUGUUGGAAAGCUGGUGACGAUGGUGUGACACACUGUGACACUCCAGGACCUCAAGGAAUCCCGCCGUGUUUACUGUGUGGUUGCCAGGCAACACAGGACCAUGUUGGAAAAAAGCCACGGAUAGAAAGAGUAGGGCCAGCGUGCAGCACAGGCGCCAUGUUGCUUCCCCCCUUCGUUGAGAAGUUAAAAGUGCUGGCUACGAAAAUGCGUCAGAACGCUUUUACCAUCAUGGCCUCAGCGAGAUGUCCAAUAUGUCCAGCGUGUAACAGCCAAACCUGUUUGUGUCAACGGCUUCGUAUGUUCAAACACGCCGCCAAGAGCGGCAUAUGUUCCUGUGAGAGUGACAGCGACACACACAGAGAUGCAGAGAGGGAGAGGUGUGUGUCCUCGUCACCACUAAACAGCAGCUACUCUAUCAUACAAAUUAAACAACAAAUCAAACAUUAUUUUCUCAUUAAAGGCAGAGAGAGAAUUUGA
This is a long non-coding RNA of Micropterus dolomieu (smallmouth bass), 570 nucleotides long. RefSeq lists it as uncharacterized. Lineage: Eukaryota; Metazoa; Chordata; Actinopteri; Centrarchiformes; Centrarchidae. The record is from RefSeq and is a predicted model, not a curated record. The transcript is spliced from 2 exons.